Eucalyptus grandis is the source of this 698-nucleotide RNA transcript. RefSeq lists it as uncharacterized. Lineage: Eukaryota; Viridiplantae; Streptophyta; Magnoliopsida; Myrtales; Myrtaceae. The record is from RefSeq and is a predicted model, not a curated record. The transcript is spliced from 2 exons.
GCAUAAUCAGGCUGAGAGAGAGAGUGAGAGAAUGGUGAACACUUUCAAGAUUUACAAACCCUUGUUGCGAGCGACCAUGAAGCUCGCCGGCGUGAGACCUCAAAAGAUCGAGGUCGAACCGGGGACUGUCAUGAACAUCUGGGCUCCGACCCGAUCCAAGAAGAAUGCCAACAACGGUAAAAAACCUGCCGUCGUCUUCCUCCACGGCUUCGUGGGCGACGGCAUCCUGACGUGGCAGUUCAAGUCCUCGCUCUUGCGAGGACUAUGCGGUCUACGUGCCGGACCUCCUCUUCUUCGGCGGUUCCUCUACCGGCGACGGCCGCCGGACUGUGGGAUUCCAGGCGGAGUGCCUGGCAAAGGGGCUGGCAAAGCUGGGAGUGCAACAGUGCACAGUGGUCGGGUUCAGCUACGGCGCGGUGGUGGCGUUCAGGUUGGCCGAGUUGCAGCCUGAGCUGGUCGAGUCGGUGGUGGCGACGUCCUCUGGCCCGGUGGUGACAGAGUCGCUGAGCCGAGAGUGCUUAGAGAGGUUGGGGUUUCCGACAUGGUCGGAAGUUCUGUUGCCUGAUUCGGCGAGUGCACUGAAGAAGUUGCUAGAAAUUGGCAGCUUCCACUUCCCUAGACUCCCCAAAUGUGUUUUCAAGCACGCUUUAGAGAGCGUGAGAGUCAAAACCCACUCCUAAAAUGAAAUCGUCCCCACC